GUCAGGUUGGCGGCUCCGGGUGGAGUCACGAGUCUCAGGGCAGAUAGACUAUGAGAACAGAAGUGAGGCCAAGUACAGCAGCAUUUUACUUUUUACUACCACGUAAGACUCCCCAACCCAACUAGGGGGGCUUGAUCCUCUGAACACAGUCUUGACAUCUGUAAAAUAAGGAUAAUAAUUACAUCUAUCUUUGGGGUUAUUGAAUACAAAAAGAUAUAGACACCGUCAGGACCAGUAACAGCAAUUCAGGCUAGAGCUAUGGGCUCACUAGAGACCAGAUGUCUCAAAACAACAGUGUGGGUGACUUGAAGAUCAAAGAGAUGAAAUAAUCUGUCCAAGUUCACAAAGCUGGAGGAGGCUUACAGGACAGAUGACAAAAAAGGAGAAGUACACUGCCUGACUGUAACUCCAUCUGAGACAGCAUCAGGAGGAAAGAGGGAUACUGAGGCAGAAUGUGACAUAUCCUGGAAUAUGUUCCCUUUGGAUUUAAAGUGUAUUUCUGGUUGUCCCAUAGAUGCCAUUGAAUGAUCAGUCAUUGUUCAUCAAAUAUUCAUCUUGCAGGUAGUCUCCCACAGCCAGAAGAAGAAAAAGAAAAAAAAAAAAAGAAAGAAAAACCUUAGAGUACAUGCAUAUGAACUUUUAAUUUACAAAAUAAAUCAAAUGUGAUCAGAGUAAUUUAAAGCAUGAAACCUUUGCUAGAGAAGUCC
Long non-coding RNA from Bos taurus (domestic cattle), 707 nucleotides. Lineage: Eukaryota; Metazoa; Chordata; Mammalia; Artiodactyla; Bovidae. The record is from Ensembl.